UACGAAGGGGGCUAGCGUUGUUCGGAUUUACUGGCGUAAAGGCGCGAUGUAGGCUGCUUCGCAAGUCGGAUGUGAAAGCCCUGGGCUCGAACCCAGGAAGUGCAUUCGAAACUGCAGAGCUGGAGUCCUGGAGAGGAAGGCGGAAUUCGUCGGUGUAGCGGUGAAAUGCGUAGAUAUCGAGAGGAACACCUGCGGCGAAGGCGGGUUGCUGGGCUGACACUGACGCUGAGGCGCGAAAGCUAGGGGAGCGAACGGG
RNAcentral lists this ribosomal RNA (256 nucleotides) under uncultured bacterium. RNAcentral's name for it is "partial 16S ribosomal RNA". It matches the Rfam family "Bacterial small subunit ribosomal RNA", at positions 524 to 776 of the family's 1533-position model. The record is from RNAcentral.